GUUAUUUGACAACCGCCAAGCAACAGUGAAAGCUGACAUUACCUUUCAAAGAAGAAGAAAGCGGAAGUGCGUUGGAAAGGAGGAAAAAAUGUCGCUAACGAGCUUUUUACCGGCGCCCACCCAGCUCUCACAAGACCAGCUUGAGGCGGAGGAUAGACUUCGUGCCCAGAGGUCCUACUCCACCGCUUUGGUUGCGUCCCGGAGAGAACCACCGCCUUAUGGACACAGAACUGGAUUUGUACCUCGUGUCCAGGAGGACUUUGGAGAUGGAGGCGCUUUUCCUGAGAUUCAUGUGGCACAGUUUCCUCUGGAGAUGGGCAGGCAGAAAAAAACCUCCAAUGCGCUGACCAUGCAGGUGGAUGCUGAAGGGAAGGUGAAAUAUGAUGCCAUUGCAAGACAAGGACAGAGCAAGGACAAGGUGGUCUUCAGUAAGUAUACAGAUCUACUUCCUAAAGAAGUUAUGAAUGAGGACACACCAGAACUACAGAAGCCUGAUGAGGAAGCCAUACAGGAGCUGACUGAAAAGACUCGUGCUGCCCUGAGCAAGCAGGUGUCACAAAAGAUUGCUGCAGCCAUGCCUGUGAGAGCAGCAGACAAACUGGCCCCAGCACAGUACAUCAGAUACACUCCCUCCCAGCAAGGUGUGGCGUUCAACUCCGGGGCCAAACAGAGAGUCAUCCGCAUGGUGGAAAUGCAGAAAGACCCGAUGGAGCCACCACGUUUCAAAAUCAACAAGAAAAUUCCUCGUGGACCUCCUUCACCGCCGGCACCAGUUAUGCAUUCUCCAAGCAGAAAGAUGACCGUGAAGGAACAGCAGGAGUGGAAGAUUCCCCCUUGCAUUUCCAACUGGAAGAAUGCAAAGGGUUACACCAUCCCUCUUGACAAGCGUUUGGCCGCUGAUGGAAGGGGACUGCAAACGGUUCACAUCAAUGAAAACUUUGCCAAGCUCGCUGAGGCGCUCUACAUCGCUGAUAGAAAGGCCAGAGAGGCGGUGGAGAUGAGGGCCCAAGUGGAAAAGAAGAUGGCCCAGAAGGAGAAAGAAAAGAAAGAGGAGAAACUCAGGGAGUUGGCCCAAAUGGCUCGUGAUCGCAGAGCAGGAAUUAAAAGCCACGGCGACAAAGGUGGUGAUGACGGUGAGGCCAGGGAGCGUGACGAGAUCCGCCAUGACCGAAGGAAAGAGAGACAACACGACAGGAACAUUUCCAGAGCCGCUCCUGAUAAGAGGUCCAAGUUGCAGAGAGACCAGGACCGAGACAUUAGCGAGCUCAUCGCUCUGGGAAUGCCCAACCCUCGCACCACCAAUGAGGCCCAGUAUGACCAGCGACUAUUCAAUCAGAGUAAAGGAAUGGAUAGUGGCUUUGCCGGGGGUGAGGACGAGACGUACAAUGUCUACGACCAGCCUUUCCGCAGUGGCAGAGACAUGGCAUCAAACAUCUACAGGCCCAGCAAGAGCAUCGACAAGGACGCCUACGCCGAUGACUUUGACACACUCAUGCGCAACAACCGAUUUGUUCCUGACAAAGAGUUCUCUGGUGCUGACCACGGGCAGAGGCGAGAUGGGCCUGUCCAGUUCGAGGUGGAUCCCUUCGGUCUGGAUAAAUUCUUGGAGGAGGCCAAGCAGCACGGCGGCUCAAAGAGACCAUCCACCAGCAGCCGCUCCAAGGACGACUACCACGACAAGAAGCGCCGGAAGGAGUGAGGCCACCUUGUGGCUCGCUGGAAGACGGGGGAGGUUGUCUACACUUCAACGUGCGGAAUCCUCAGGAUCACAGAGGUAUGCCGGAGCCUAUCCCAGUUGACCUUUUGGCGAGAGAUGGGGUACAUCCUGGACUGGUUGGCAGCCAAUCGCAGGGUACAUAUAGAUAAGCAACCAUUUACUCAUAUUUAUCAUCUGUCUCAUUUCUAACCUUAAUUAAAAUGUUACACGUAUGAGAUAUGAGUGAAAUCCGCUAAUGACCAGAUAUACAGUGCAGCCAAUGCCAUGGAAAUGUGUAGAUUUUAGUUCAAUUUCACUUUACUUUAAAUUGUGUACAAUUUAAGAGGCCUCUGUAUGUGUUGGUGCAGUAUUUCUUGACGGGUGUGUGUAUCAGGAUGACACAAACACAAAGCAUCUUUUUGAAUCUUGUACAGCAGUACAAUAAAUUCCAAAUAGCG
Non-coding RNA from Doryrhamphus excisus (bluestripe pipefish), 2154 nucleotides. Lineage: Eukaryota; Metazoa; Chordata; Actinopteri; Syngnathiformes; Syngnathidae. The record is from RefSeq and is a predicted model, not a curated record.